AGUGAGUCAUACAACCCUGAAUGCACUCAAUGUCAUCUGAUCUCAGAAGCUAAGCAGGGUCAGGCCUAGUUAGUACUUGGAUGGGAUUCCAUUAUUU
Molecule: ribosomal RNA, 97 nt
Filed under: Dasypus novemcinctus (nine-banded armadillo)
Lineage: Eukaryota; Metazoa; Chordata; Mammalia; Cingulata; Dasypodidae
Source: RNAcentral